This 86-nucleotide transfer RNA is filed under the name Candidatus Nardonella dryophthoridicola. RNAcentral describes it as "tRNA-Tyr". It matches the Rfam family "tRNA". From Rfam's summary of the family: Transfer RNA (tRNA) molecules are approximately 80 nucleotides in length. Their secondary structure includes four short double-helical elements and three loops (D, anti-codon, and T loops). Further hydrogen bonds mediate the characteristic L-shaped molecular structure. tRNAs have two regions of fundamental functional importance: the anti-codon, which is responsible for specific mRNA codon recognition, and the 3' end, to which the tRNAs corresponding amino acid is attached (by aminoacyl-tRNA synthetases). tRNAs cope with the degeneracy of the genetic code in two manners: having more than one tRNA (with a specific anti-codon) for a particular amino acid; and 'wobble' base-pairing, i.e. permitting non-standard base-pairing at the 3rd anti-codon position. RNAcentral also lists the same sequence under 1 other name. Lineage: Bacteria; Pseudomonadati; Pseudomonadota; Gammaproteobacteria. The record is from RNAcentral.
GGUGGGGUUCCCGAGUGGUUAAAGGGAUCAGACUGUAAAUCUGCUGUCUAAUAUAGACUUCGAAGGUUCGAAUCCUUCCCCCAUCA